RNAcentral lists this ribosomal RNA (387 nucleotides) under uncultured Alphaproteobacteria bacterium. Its description in RNAcentral is "bacterial SSU rRNA". It matches the Rfam family "Bacterial small subunit ribosomal RNA", at positions 9 to 424 of the family's 1533-position model. Lineage: Bacteria; Pseudomonadati; Pseudomonadota; Alphaproteobacteria. The record is from RNAcentral.
GAGUUUGAUCCUGGCUCAGAACGAACGCUGGCGGCAUGCCUAACACAUGCAAGUCGAACGAGACCUUCGGGUCUAGUGGCGCACGGGUGCGUAACGCGUGGGAAUCUGCCCUCAGGUACGGAAUAGCUCAGGGAAACUUGAGCUAAUACCGUAUAAUGACUUCGGUCCAAAGAUUUAUCGCCUGAGGAUGAGCCCGCGUCGGAUUAGCUAGUUGGUGGGGUAAAAGCUCACCAAGGCGACGAUCCGUAGCUGGUCUGAGAGGAUGAUCAGCCACACUGGGACUGAGACACGGCCCAGACUCCUACGGGAGGCAGCAGUGGGGAAUAUUGGACAAUGGGCGCAAGCCUGAUCCAGCAAUGCCGCGUGAGUGAUGAAGGCCUUAGGGUU